RNAcentral lists this ribosomal RNA (253 nucleotides) under uncultured bacterium. RNAcentral's name for it is "partial 16S ribosomal RNA". It matches the Rfam family "Bacterial small subunit ribosomal RNA", at positions 524 to 776 of the family's 1533-position model. The record is from RNAcentral.
UACGGAGGGUGCGAGCGUUGUUCGGAAUUAUUGGGCGUAAAGCGCGUGUAGGCGGUUUUCUAAGUCUGAUGUGAAAGCCCCGGGCUCAACCUGGGAAGUGCAUUGGAAACUGGGGAACUUGAAUACGGGAGAGGGCAGUGGAAUUGCUAGUGUAGGAGUGAAAUCCGUAGAUAUUAGGAGGAACACCGGUGGCGAAGGCGGCUGCCUGGACCGAUAUUGACGCUGAGACGCGAAAGCGUGGGGAGCAAACAGG